Molecule: ribosomal RNA, 243 nt
Filed under: uncultured bacterium
Lineage: Bacteria
Description: partial small subunit ribosomal RNA
Rfam family: Bacterial small subunit ribosomal RNA
Source: RNAcentral
AGAAUCAACGCUGGCGGCGUGCCUAACACAUGCAAGUCGAACGAGAAAGUGGAGCAAUCCAUGAGUAAAGUGGCGCACGGGUGAGUAACACGUGACUAACCUACCCUUGAGUGGGAAUAACCUAGGGAAACCUGGGCUAAUACCGCAUAACACCUACGGGUCAAAGGAGCAAUUCGCUUAAGGAGGGGUCGCGGCAGAUUAGCUAGUUGGCGGGGUAAUGGCCCACCAAGGCAGUGAUCUGUA